Molecule: ribosomal RNA, 18 nt
Filed under: Capsicum annuum
Lineage: Eukaryota; Viridiplantae; Streptophyta; Magnoliopsida; Solanales; Solanaceae
Also listed under: 1 other name
Description: partial 28S ribosomal RNA
Source: RNAcentral
GCGACCCCAGUCAGUCGG